Molecule: ribosomal RNA, 459 nt
Filed under: uncultured bacterium
Lineage: Bacteria
Description: partial 16S ribosomal RNA
Rfam family: Bacterial small subunit ribosomal RNA
Source: RNAcentral
CCUACGGGUGGCAGCAGUGAGGAAUAUUGGACAAUGGGCGGGAGCCUGAACCAGCGAAGCCGCGUGAGGGAAGAAGGUACAGCGUAUCGUAAACCUCUUUUGUCAGGGAACAAAGGCGGGGACUAGUCCCCGGAUGAGGGUACCUGAAGAAAAAGCAUCGGCUAACUCCGUGCCAGCAGCCGCGGUAAUACGGAGGAUGCGAGCGUUAUCCGGAUUUAUUGGGGUUAAAGGGUGCGCAGGCGGCCUGUUAAGUCAGCGGUAAAAGCCCGGGGCUCCACCCCGGCUAGCCGUUGAAACUGGCGGGCUGGAGUUGGAGAGGAGUACGCGGAAUGCGCGGUGUAGCGGUGAAAUGCUUAGAUAUCACGAAGAACUCCGAUUGCGAAGGCAGCAUACCGGCGGCGAUCUGACGCUGAGGCACGAAAGCGUGGGUAUCGAACAGGAUUAGAUACCCCAGUAGUC